Molecule: non-coding RNA, 68 nt
Filed under: unclassified sequences
Description: int-alpA RNA
Rfam family: int-alpA RNA
About the family: Acidobacteria (1 example), Planctomycetes (1 example), Proteobacteria. Environment (Lake Washington)
Source: Rfam by way of RNAcentral
UCCGGGGAUAGGGUAGCUCCCGACAAGGCGGACCUCCUGCACCGCCUUCCCACGGAUCACUUUGAGGA